Molecule: ribosomal RNA, 329 nt
Filed under: uncultured eukaryote
Lineage: Eukaryota
Description: partial 18S ribosomal RNA
Rfam family: Eukaryotic small subunit ribosomal RNA
Source: RNAcentral
CCCUUAGAUGUUCUGGGCCGCACGCGCGCUACACUGACGGAGGCAGCGAGCGUGUCCUUCGCCGGCAGGUGCGGGCAAUCUUGCGAGUCUCCGUCGUGCUGGGGAUAGAUGGUUGCAAUUGUCGAUCUUGAGCGAGGAAUUCCUAGUAAGCGCGAGUCAUCAGCUCGCGCUGAUUACGUCCCUGCCCUUUGUACACACCGCCCGUCGCUACUACAGAGUGCCCGUGUCCAAGAAACGGUCGGACCUGUGCGGCCUCUCCGGGCGACCGGAGGGCCGUUACGGGGAAGACCCUUUAUUUGACGCGGGUCGAUGAAGUAAAAGUCGUAACA